RNAcentral lists this long non-coding RNA (1938 nucleotides) under Calidris pugnax (ruff). Its description in RNAcentral is "lncRNA (ENSCPUG00000017926.1)". Lineage: Eukaryota; Metazoa; Chordata; Aves; Charadriiformes; Scolopacidae. The record is from RNAcentral.
ACAUGGUUUGGUGAUGGUUUUGAUCAGAGCUAGGUUGAUGGUUGGACCAGAUGACCUUGGAGGUCCCUUCCAGCCUAGACAGUUCUAUGAUUCUAUGAAUAUCAGGGUAAGCAAAGGGUGAAACAGAAAUAAACUUGCUGACAUCUGAACAGACAAACUUAGACCCUGCUGCUGCUUCUGAUACAGCUGUCUGCAAGCAUUUCACAGCGGUCCACAAGCUUCUCUCACCCUCUUGCCAAAGCAGAUUUGCCAGUAAACCUCCAGCAGCGUAGGUUUACUAGCUUUGAUACGGCAAAACAUUUCAAGAGCCCUACUGUCUCUCACAUAUAUCCUCUCAUAUUCUGUGAACACUUCCAGAUCCUUGCUUUUCUCAUGCUACUGUUCUAAAUCCAUUUGCUGCCUGCCUGUAUUUCCACCCUAAACAGUGCACAUAUGCUCGAUCUCACAUAGAGAGCAUCUACCAUGAAAUGCAGUAAUAGCACAGCCCAUGUUCAUAUGAAUCUGGCUUCUUGUCACUUGGCUCUUGCUUGUCUCUGUAAGCUGUGUCCUCCGUCUUUUCCGACGCAUCUUUUGGCAGCAGCUACUUAGAGACACACCGGAUAAACACCGAGUCCACAAAAAAAUGAAGCAAAACCACAGCGGCUGGUAAACCAGGUUAGGAUCCGUCCCUUCUGCUUGUAAUAGCGAGUUCUGUGGUCCUCGGAUAAGUUGCUCUAUAAUUUACUCCUCCAAAUAGAAGCAUAAUGAGACACAGUUGCUGUGGCUGUGAAUCGUGGUACCGAUGCCAAAUGAGCAUGCCUACUUGCUGGGGCCAAACGCCACGCAGCGAGAGCGUGGAGCGUACAGCAAGAGACCUUCGUUUUGCAAGCUGUAAGGAGAUUAGGCCGUGCAGGGGAGUUAAAAGUCCUCAGAACGGUGAAGAAUUACAGCAACAUCCCAGGCCCCAGCCGGGAGGAGAUGAUCACACUCCAUGCCAUAAGAAGGGGCACUGGCAAAUCUCCCAAACCAGCUGCCCAACAGGGCAAUCGGAUGGCUGCGCUUCUGCGAUCGCUCUGUCUGCUAUCACACUCCAUGCCAUAAGAAGGGGCACUGGCAAAUCUCCCAAACCAGCUGCCCAACAGGGCAAUCGGAUGGCUGCGCUGCUGCGAUCGCUCUGUCUGCUGCCAGGAAGGAAGGGGAACUGCAGAUGCGUUAGACCUAUGAGAUUCCUCCACAUAGGAGUUCUGAGGGUGAUCCCACUUCUUUACUUCUGCCUUAAAAGACUCCGUAACCUUCUGCUCUUCUGCUCAGCCCGUUCGUCACCAGAAGAGGUCCUGAUUAUCCCCGUUCUGGUGAAGUCCUUUCCCUAGGUAAGAACUUGUCUGCUCUGUGACUGAAGCUCUAGUGAGAUCAAUAAUGAUUUAAGUCAGAUAUGGCCAUAUGGUCUGGAGGUCAAGAUGCCCUAACUGCCUGGCUGGUUUCCCGAGGCUCCGAGCUCCCCAUCGCUGCAGCUACAUUGCAGUGGCUAGUUCAGUGGUGGGCUGAGUACGUAUCACCAGGCAGCAGCCACACAAACGUUUGCUGAAGAGGCUUGCUUCCCACAUUAUGCCCUCAUUGCAUGCUAACCUUGGAUUAAAUCAACCAAGGAAAGGGAGCCUGGCGUUCCCUAACUUUUAUUUAACUCCCUGCUGUUAUUAAGUCUGCUGCUGAACGUGUGGAAGCGUGUGGGAUGGGCACAAACUUUGCAGAAGAAAAAGCCCUGUUGGUAGGAGGCAACGGCAGCCUUGAUGCAAAAGUGGCAGAGUGUGCUCCGAGGCCAGCGCCGCCGGAAGGAAGCAGAGCAGUGCACAAAACAUCACUGCAGAUAUAAAAUGGGAAUUCUCUCCAGGCACUCUCAUCCAGAUCACCUGGCAAGAGAGAAGGGGUUGGGAUUGGUAAUAAACGGCACAGUGAAGGUCA